CUCCAGUGUGUAGAAGAGCUGCAGCACUGUUGUGCAUUUCUGGGUGAGAUGAAUUAAAAUUCAGGAGGACCCGGUAGCACCCUGUGCUCUACAUUACACCAAAUUUCUGGACAUGAUGCUAUGGGACUGGACUCCCUAAUGGCACCAAACAUGGAAAGACUGUUUCCCACCCACCAGAACAGAAAUCGGCCAGGCUGAUGGAGUCAUCUCAGGGAGCCACGUGCUGCACAG
Molecule: long non-coding RNA, 231 nt
Organism: Camarhynchus parvulus
Lineage: Eukaryota; Metazoa; Chordata; Aves; Passeriformes; Thraupidae
Exons: 3
Source: RefSeq, a predicted model, not a curated record